This 45-nucleotide non-coding RNA is filed under the name Schistosoma mattheei. Lineage: Eukaryota; Metazoa; Platyhelminthes; Trematoda; Strigeidida; Schistosomatidae. The record is from RNAcentral.
AUCCAGCUGACGAGUCCCAAAUAGAACGACCCGCGCGUCCUCUAU